UUCUAUAAAAAAAAUUCCAA
Molecule: microRNA, 20 nt
Filed under: Schistosoma mansoni
Lineage: Eukaryota; Metazoa; Platyhelminthes; Trematoda; Strigeidida; Schistosomatidae
Description: sma-miR-8450-5p
Source: miRBase by way of RNAcentral